Molecule: long non-coding RNA, 2686 nt
Organism: Rosa rugosa (rugosa rose)
Lineage: Eukaryota; Viridiplantae; Streptophyta; Magnoliopsida; Rosales; Rosaceae
Exons: 6
Source: RefSeq, a predicted model, not a curated record
CUCUCUCUUCUCACAAAACGUGAAACCCUCUCUUCUCUAUCACUGAUUUACUCUCUCCUCUGUCCUCUGUCCUCCGUCCUAGUCUUCUGGCAAACUCCUCUGUGAAAUUGAAAUGGGUUUGUUUGUAAUUGCGAGUUUCUCUUAGAUUUAGGGUUCUUAGGUUCCAUUCUCUUAGAUUGUUCAUCUUCCUCUUCAGCGACAUGGGAGAUAGAGUGCCCCAGAUCCACUUUCUCUAUCUCCUCCUUACCUUCAAACUAGGGUCAAUUGAAGAGAUGUUGAAGACGAAGGUGUCCGAGAUGGCGGAGGCGAACGUGUUGUGCUACGCCGCCAACAUGCUCGCCAGCAAGCACUGAAGGGUUUCACUUUCCGCUUCCCAGAUGCCCAAGUGUGAUAUCUGCCAGGGUGGUGAUUGCGCUGAGAGCUUCAAGGAGUUCAGUGCCAAUAACAAAUAACAUUAGGGACAACUUCAGAGUUAUGCUUGAGAUGAGUGUGGUUCUUAUGUUUGGUGGGCAAAUGAAUAUUGUCAAGGUGGGAAGAAUGGCAAGCUGGGUUAGACGGGCAUGGCAGUCCUCUGAAGAUCAGCUCUCGUCUGUCACCAGUUUGGAUGCUGUGGUCUUCGAUCAUUGCACAUUUUCAUCUUUAGUUUGACGGUGUUUGGGUUCACUGGGAUUAUUGGGGCUUUUGUUCUUCUGCCAAUAAAUUUUCUGGGGACCCAGCUGGAGGUGGAUUUUUCGGAUUUGCCUAACAAGUCUUUGGACUCGUUUAGUAUUUCAAAUAUGGAUGAUGGCUCAAACUGGUACUUUCAAAAUCAACUUCUCCUUAUUAUCUACAGAUUGCAAAGAAACUUAAUGGUGAGCAAAAAUGCUAGCUUUGGUUUCGACUUGGCUACAGACAUGACGGUUGAUGCUUUUGCAGCAUCAUACUUCAACACAUUUGGUAAAGCGCUGUAAUACUCUUAAUCAAUCUUAUUCUUUAUUAGUGUUCUUUUAAUGCUUAUAAUAGUGUAAACCUAUUGAUGCUUACUACUUUUUUGGAUAAGUCAGUGCUUCACAAUAACACAAUAUUCUAUGUUAUUUCUAUUAUGUUUUGUUUGAUAAUACAACUAGUUUAGAUUUUCACUCACUAAGAUAUAGUAAUUGUGUAAUAAACCAAAACUUUAUCAGAUAACAGCAAAUCUUUUCUCUAUGUUAUACUUAAUUGGACUUAAUUGUUGAAGCAGGCUCAUACUAGGCCUAUUUGAUUAAAAUGGUCAUAAUCGAAUUGAACUUAUUUGUAUUUGGAACUUUUGUCUUUUAUUCUCUCUCUAGUUUUUUAUGUAACUUUCAUGUGUUAAGUGGCUAACAAUGGUAUCUUGUGAUGUAGUUGAGCAACACAAUGGAUCCAAAGGAUCUUGUUAAACUCAUUGUUAACUUUCAUGUUAAGUGGCUAACAAUGGUAUCUUCUAAUUCAUCUAAUGUUGUUUUCUUGAUAGAAAGGUUGCUAAAUGAUAGAUUAAAUUUGUAUAUCAAUUCCUUCAUUUUCCAUGUCCCUUUUCCUAUGCAUGUUAUCUUUCCAAUAUAUUUUCUAACUUGGUGUUUAUGAGUAUCCCUGCUUCAGCUGGGACUUGCAAUGCUAUUCUGGUUAUAAACCAUCUGAGUUGCAAGAUUGUGUCCUUGCCCUUCAUGACUUGCGGCUGAAUAAAUAAGGAAGCAAUUUGCGAGCAGUUACACACACACACACAAGCAAAGGUAAUAUAGUUUUAUGUUCAGGUAAUUUGCAUCUUGAAACUAUCCGAUGCAAAUUUGUUGAUAUUAUGAGUUCAACUUCCAAAAGGGCUUAUAUAUUGUAAAUGGCUGGAAAUUACAGUACCUAUGUAAGUUGUCUGUGCAUUUCUAGAAAUACACUACGGGUCCAUAUUGAAAUUAACUUGAGAGUUUUAGGAAAUUUCAUGCUGCUUUUCACUAAUAUUUAUCUGCUCUUGAUCAUUUGGCAUUUUUUGGACAGUUUAUAAGUGCGUAGCAACAUUACCUUCACACACUGAGAUUCCUGUACUUCAGUUUAAGCAUCAUAUUGAUUUCUCAGCAAUCAAAAUUGCUUCUUUGUUUAAUAAAGAAAUUCUUUGUUUCUGAGUUUGAAAAAGUCAUCCAGUGAAUGUAAUUAUAAUUUGGUUUCUUUUGUUGUCUUUAUAGCUGUUAGUGGCUUGUAAAGCUCAUGUUGUGGAGACUCUAGUUUUGAUUGGUUGUUAGGUUCCUCAUCAGCAAGGUCAUCAAAUCCCUUAUUUUGGACAUUGUUGGCGAACUAAGGAAGCGUAGAGACAAAGAAAGCAUAGAGAUGAAGAAGGGAUUGAAAGGUUUUCAACAGUCUUCAAUUAUGACAGUGAGGACUGGGAAGGAAGACAUUAGAACCAUAACCAAGGAUGUCCACCCUGCGGCAAUGAUCCAAAGCUCGAGAAGCAACGUAAAUGAGUUUUGGAGUGGGAUCUUAGAGCUCGAGAAGCAAGUACCAUGGAUUACCUCCUUUCAGCAUAUGAGCUACCAAGUUUGAUACAUGGGUCUAGCUAGCAGCUAGGAAUAAUGCUUUUGAUUCAUGUGUAGGUAGCAGCUAGGAAUGCUUUCUUGUUUGGUGUAUUAUCUAAUAACUUGAAUGUUUGGAAGUUUGAAAAAUGCCACUUAUAUGAUAUGGAUUAGUGUGGUUUUAUGUGGUAAUA